RNAcentral lists this ribosomal RNA (2934 nucleotides) under Bacillus amyloliquefaciens. RNAcentral describes it as "23S ribosomal RNA". It matches the Rfam family "Bacterial large subunit ribosomal RNA". Lineage: Bacteria; Bacillati; Bacillota; Bacilli; Caryophanales; Bacillaceae. The record is from RNAcentral.
CGGUUAAGUUAGAAAGGGCGCACGGUGGAUGCCUUGGCACUAGGAGCCGAUGAAGGACGGGACGAACACCGAUAUGCUUCGGGGAGCUGUAAGCAAGCUUUGAUCCGGAGAUUUCCGAAUGGGGAAACCCACCACUCGUAAUGGAGUGGUAUCCAUAUCUGAAUACAUAGGAUAUGAGAAGGCAGACCCGGGGAACUGAAACAUCUAAGUACCCGGAGGAAGAGAAAGCAAAUGCGAUUCCCUGAGUAGCGGCGAGCGAAACGGGACCAGCCCAAACCAAGAGGCUUGCCUCUUGGGGUUGUAGGACACUCUGUACGGAGUUACAAAGGAACGAGGUAGAUGAAGAGGUCUGGAAAGGCCCGCCAUAGGAGGUAACAGCCCUGUAGUCAAAACUUCGUUCUCUCCUGAGUGGAUCCUGAGUACGGCGGAACACGUGAAAUUCCGUCGGAAUCCGGGAGGACCAUCUCCCAAGGCUAAAUACUCCCUAGUGACCGAUAGUGAACCAGUACCGUGAGGGAAAGGUGAAAAGCACCCCGGAAGGGGAGUGAAAGAGAUCCUGAAACCGUGUGCCUACAAGUAGUCAGAGCCCGUUAACGGGUGAUGGCGUGCCUUUUGUAGAAUGAACCGGCGAGUUACGAUCCCGUGCAAGGUUAAGCAGAAGAUGCGGAGCCGCAGCGAAAGCGAGUCUGAAUAGGGCGAAUUGAGUACGUGGUCGUAGACCCGAAACCAGGUGAUCUACCCAUGUCCAGGGUGAAGUUCAGGUAACACUGAAUGGAGGCCCGAACCCACGCACGUUGAAAAGUGCGGGGAUGAGGUGUGGGUAGGGGUGAAAUGCCAAUCGAACCUGGAGAUAGCUGGUUCUCUCCGAAAUAGCUUUAGGGCUAGCCUCAAGGUAAGAGUCUCGGAGGUAGAGCACUGAUUGGACUAGGGGCCCCUACCGGGUUACCGAAUUCAGUCAAACUCCGAAUGCCGAUGACUUAUCCUUGGGAGUCAGACUGCGAGUGAUAAGAUCCGUAGUCGAAAGGGAAACAGCCCAGACCGCCAGCUAAGGUCCCAAAGUAUACGUUAAGUGGAAAAGGAUGUGGAGUUGCUUAGACAACCAGGAUGUUGGCUUAGAAGCAGCCACCAUUUAAAGAGUGCGUAAUAGCUCACUGGUCGAGUGACUCUGCGCCGAAAAUGUACCGGGGCUAAACGUAUCACCGAAGCUGCGGACUGUUCUUCGAACAGUGGUAGGAGAGCGUUCUAAGGGCUGUGAAGCAAGACCGGAAGGACUUGUGGAGCGCUUAGAAGUGAGAAUGCCGGUAUGAGUAGCGAAAGAGGGGUGAGAAUCCCCUCCACCGAAUGCCUAAGGUUUCCUGAGGAAGGCUCGUCCGCUCAGGGUUAGUCGGGACCUAAGCCGAGGCCGAAAGGCGUAGGCGAUGGAUAACAGGUUGAUAUUCCUGUACCACCUCCUCACCAUUUGAGCAAUGGGGGGACGCAGGAGGAUAGGGUAAGCGCGGUAUUGGAUAUCCGCGUCCAAGCAGUUAGGCUGGGAAAUAGGCAAAUCCGUUUCCCGUGAAGGCUGAGCUGUGAUGGCGAGCGAAUUAUAGUAGCGAAGUUCCUGAUUCCACACUGCCAAGAAAAGCCUCUAGCGAGGUGAGAGGUGCCCGUACCGCAAACCGACACAGGUAGGCGAGGAGAGAAUCCUAAGGUGAUCGAGAGAACUCUCGUUAAGGAACUCGGCAAAAUGACCCCGUAACUUCGGGAGAAGGGGUGCUCUGUUAGGGUGCAAGCCCGAGAGAGCCGCAGUGAAUAGGCCCAGGCGACUGUUUAGCAAAAACACAGGUCUCUGCGAAGCCGUAAGGCGAAGUAUAGGGGCUGACGCCUGCCCGGUGCUGGAAGGUUAAGAGGAGCGCUUAGCGUAAGCGAAGGUGCGAAUUGAAGCCCCAGUAAACGGCGGCCGUAACUAUAACGGUCCUAAGGUAGCGAAAUUCCUUGUCGGGUAAGUUCCGACCCGCACGAAAGGCGCAACGAUCUGGGCACUGUCUCAACGAGAGACUCGGUGAAAUUAUAGUACCUGUGAAGAUGCAGGUUACCCGCGACAGGACGGAAAGACCCCGUGGAGCUUUACUGCAGCCUGAUAUUGAAUGUUGGUACAGCUUGUACAGGAUAGGUAGGAGCCUUGGAAACCGGAGCGCCAGCUUCGGUGGAGGCAUCGGUGGGAUACUACCCUGGCUGUAUUGACCUUCUAACCCGCCGCCCUUAUCGGGCGGGGAGACAGUGUCAGGUGGGCAGUUUGACUGGGGCGGUCGCCUCCUAAAAGGUAACGGAGGCGCCCAAAGGUUCCCUCAGAAUGGUUGGAAAUCAUUCGCAGAGUGUAAAGGCACAAGGGAGCUUGACUGCGAGACCUACAAGUCGAGCAGGGACGAAAGUCGGGCUUAGUGAUACGGUGGUUCCGCAUGGAAGGGCCAUCGCUCAACGGAUAAAAGCUACCCCGGGGAUAACAGGCUUAUCUCCCCCAAGAGUCCACAUAGACGGGGAGGUUUGGCACCUCGAUGUCGGCUCAUCGCAUCCUGGGGCUGUAGUCGGUCCCAAGGGUUGGGCUGUUCGCCCAUUAAAGCGGUACGCGAGCUGGGUUCAGAACGUCGUGAGACAGUUCGGUCCCUAUCCGUCGCGGGCGCAGGAAAUUUGAGAGGAGCUGUCCUUAGUACGAGAGGACCGGGAUGGACGCACCGCUGGUGUACCAGUUGUUCUGCCAAGGGCAUCGCUGGGUAGCUAUGUGCGGACGGGAUAAGUGCUGAAAGCAUCUAAGCAUGAAGCCCCCCUCAAGAUGAGAUUUCCCAUUCCGCAAGGAAGUAAGAUCCCUGAAAGAUGAUCAGGUUGAUAGGUCUGAGGUGGAAGUGUGGCGACACAUGGAGCUGACAGAUACUAAUCGAUCGAGGACUUAACCAAUUU